CGUGUAGGCGGCUUUGCAAGUCGGGUGUGAAAGCCCUCAGCUCAACUGAGGAAGUGCGCCCGAAACUGCAGAGCUUGAGUGCCGGAGAGGGUGGCGGAAUUCCCCAAGUAGAGGUGAAAUUCGUAGAUAUGGGGAGGAACACCGGUGGCGAAGGCGGCCACCUGGACGGUAACUGACGCUGAGACGCGAAAGCGUGGGGAGCAAACA
Molecule: ribosomal RNA, 207 nt
Filed under: uncultured delta proteobacterium
Lineage: Bacteria; Deltaproteobacteria
Also listed under: 1 other name
Description: partial 16S ribosomal RNA
Rfam family: Bacterial small subunit ribosomal RNA
Source: RNAcentral